Molecule: ribosomal RNA, 696 nt
Filed under: Microbacterium sp.
Lineage: Bacteria; Bacillati; Actinomycetota; Actinomycetes; Micrococcales; Microbacteriaceae
Description: bacterial SSU rRNA
Rfam family: Bacterial small subunit ribosomal RNA
Source: RNAcentral
AGAGCUUGCUCUGUGGAUCAGUGGCGAACGGGUGAGUAACACGUGAGCAAUCUGCCCCUGACUCUGGGAUAAGCGCUGGAAACGGCGUCUAAUACCGGAUACGAGCUGCGAUCGCAUGGUCAGUAGCUGGAAAGAAUUUCGGUCAGGGAUGAGCUCGCGGCCUAUCAGCUUGUUGGUGAGGUAAUGGCUCACCAAGGCGUCGACGGGUAGCCGGCCUGAGAGGGUGACCGGCCACACUGGGACUGAGACACGGCCCAGACUCCUACGGGAGGCAGCAGUGGGGAAUAUUGCACAAUGGGCGGAAGCCUGAUGCAGCAACGCCGCGUGAGGGAUGACGGCCUUCGGGUUGUAAACCUCUUUUAGCAGGGAAGAAGCGAAAGUGACGGUACCUGCAGAAAAAGCGCCGGCUAACUACGUGCCAGCAGCCGCGGUAAUACGUAGGGCGCAAGCGUUAUCCGGAAUUAUUGGGCGUAAAGAGCUCGUAGGCGGUCUGUCGCGUCUGCUGUGAAAACCCGAGGCUCAACCUCGGGCCUGCAGUGGGUACGGGCAGACUAGAGUGCGGUAGGGGAGAUUGGAAUUCCUGGUGUAGCGGUGGAAUGCGCAGAUAUCAGGAGGAACACCGAUGGCGAAGGCAGAUCUCUGGGCCGUAACUGACGCUGAGGAGCGAAAGGGUGGGGAGCAAACAGGCUUAGAUAC